This 432-nucleotide ribosomal RNA is filed under the name uncultured bacterium. RNAcentral describes it as "bacterial SSU rRNA". It matches the Rfam family "Bacterial small subunit ribosomal RNA", at positions 30 to 468 of the family's 1533-position model. The record is from RNAcentral.
UGAACGCUGGCGGCAUGCUUUACACAUGCAAGUCGAACGGCAGCGGGGGCUUCGGCCUGCCGGCGAGUGGCGAACGGGUGAGUAAUGCAUCGGAACGUGCCCAUGUCGUGGGGGAUAACGUAGCGAAAGCUACGCUAAUACCGCAUACGCCCUGAGGGGGAAAGCGGGGGAUUCUUCGGAACCUCGCGCGAUUGGAGCGGCCGAUGUCGGAUUAGCUAGUAGGUGAGGUAAAGGCUCACCUAGGCGACGAUCCGUAGCGGGUCUGAGAGGAUGAUCCGCCACACUGGGACUGAGACACGGCCCAGACUCCUACGGGAGGCAGCAGUGGGGAAUUUUGGACAAUGGGCGCAAGCCUGAUCCAGCCAUGCCGCGUGAGUGAAGAAGGCCUCGGUGUAAGACUCUUCGUCCGGGACGGAAAGUACGUAGGUCGUC